Molecule: ribosomal RNA, 428 nt
Filed under: uncultured bacterium
Lineage: Bacteria
Description: partial 16S ribosomal RNA
Rfam family: Bacterial small subunit ribosomal RNA
Source: RNAcentral
UAGGGAAUCUUCCGCAAUGGACGAAAGUCUGACGGAGCAACGCCGCGUGAGUGAUGAAGGUUUUUGGAUCGUAAAGCUCUGUUGUUAGGGAAGAACAAGUGCCGUUCAAAUAGGGCGGCACCUUGACGGUACCUAACCAGAAAGCCACGGCUAACUACGUGCCAGCAGCCGCGGUAAUACGUAGGUGGCAAGCGUUGUCCGGAAUUAUUGGGCGUAAAGGGCUCGCAGGCGGUUUCUUAAGUCUGAUGUGAAAGCCCCCGGCUCAACCGGGGAGGGUCAUUGGAAACUGGGGAACUUGAGUGCAGAAGAGGAGAGUGGAAUUCCACGUGUAGCGGUGAAAUGCGUAGAGAUGUGGAGGAACACCAGUGGCGAAGGCGACUCUCUGGUCUGUAACUGACGCUGAGGAGCGAAAGCGUGGGGAGCGAACA